Molecule: transfer RNA, 57 nt
Filed under: Bos taurus (domestic cattle)
Lineage: Eukaryota; Metazoa; Chordata; Mammalia; Artiodactyla; Bovidae
Also listed under: 5 other names
Rfam family: tRNA
About the family: Transfer RNA (tRNA) molecules are approximately 80 nucleotides in length. Their secondary structure includes four short double-helical elements and three loops (D, anti-codon, and T loops). Further hydrogen bonds mediate the characteristic L-shaped molecular structure. tRNAs have two regions of fundamental functional importance: the anti-codon, which is responsible for specific mRNA codon recognition, and the 3' end, to which the tRNAs corresponding amino acid is attached (by aminoacyl-tRNA synthetases). tRNAs cope with the degeneracy of the genetic code in two manners: having more than one tRNA (with a specific anti-codon) for a particular amino acid; and 'wobble' base-pairing, i.e. permitting non-standard base-pairing at the 3rd anti-codon position.
Source: Rfam by way of RNAcentral
UGGCUCAGUUGGUAAAGAAUCUGUCUGCAAUGCAGGAGACCCAGGUUCAAUCCCUGG